UUAAUGGAGACCGACUUGGCCUGGUGAGGAGAGCAGGGUUUCGUCUUCAGGUGUUUAGACUCAACUGUGGCUGCGGGUGCUCUGCGAUGUACAGAGAGGAAGAGAUCCCAUAUCCAAGUUGCCUUGUUCCCGCUUUGGGACAAGUUGCCCUCGCUGUCUGAUGAGGCAGGGAGAAGUAGGACUCCCUUGGCCCCAGUGAAUGUGGUGUCCUGCUCCAGGGGUGUCCCGGAGCUACUUUCCAAGUAAAGGCAAGGUGCCAAAAAAUGAGACAGAUGCCAGCACUGUGCUGUUGGACUUGCCAGCCUUCAGA
Molecule: long non-coding RNA, 310 nt
Filed under: Pan troglodytes (chimpanzee)
Lineage: Eukaryota; Metazoa; Chordata; Mammalia; Primates; Hominidae
Description: long non-coding RNA NONPTRT018506
Source: RNAcentral